AUGAUCAUACUAUUGUGUUUUUUUUUAUUUUCUUCUCUUUUUUUAGACAAGGUCUCACUUUGUCACCUGGGCUCAAGCGAUCCUCCCACCUCAGCCCCCACAGAACUUCUAGAGAAAACAAGAAGAAGACUUCAAAAAACAUGCUGUGAUGUCUCCCGGUGGAGACAGGGCACGAGGUGAGUGAAAAUUGCAAAGAACUGUUUUCUAAUAAGAACACAGGCAAACUGAGAGCUUAGCUUAAACCAGUGAUCAUUCUUGAAGCAGAAGUAUUAUAAAUUUCUUUGUAGAAUUUUAUAACCCUUCUUGGUUUGAUAACCGUCAAAUAAACAAAUUGUGAGAUUACUUAAUUAGCUAGCAGUAAGGGCAAAUAGCCACCUUCUAAACCAGCUGUGUUGCAUCAGACUUGAUUGCAUAUAUGAAUGAAUGCUUAUAGCAUUGAGACAAGAAUGAACUGUUUUUGUUUGUUUGUUUGUUUUGUUUUGUUUAUACAGAGUCUUGCUCUGUCACCCAGGAGUGCAGUGGUGUGAUCUCAGCUCACUGCAACCUCUGCCUUCCAGGUUUAAGCAAUCCUCCUGCCUCAGCCUCCCGAGUAGCUGGGAUUACAGGCUCACGCCACCAUGCCCAGCUAAUUUUUGAAAUUAGAGACAGGGUUUCACCACGUUGGCCGGGCUGGUCUUGAACUCCUGACCUCAAGUGAUCCGCCUGCCUUGGCCUCCGAAAGUGCUGGGAUUGCAGGUGUGAGCCACUGCACUCAGUCAUACUAUGUUUUAAUUAAGUUCUAUUUUGGACGUCUUUGAUGAUUGCGAAAAACAGAUGACAUUUACUUUCCAUUGAAGUGAUGUAUUCUGAGUUCCUACUUCAUGCUGGGCUUUGUCACUUAAUAACCAUGUGGGCUAGGUAACUAUUAUGCCCACUUGACAGUUGAGGGAGCAUAGGCUUAGGAAGAUUAAAACUUUCCCAAGUCAUAAAACGAAGUAAGUAGCAGAGCUGGGAUUGGAAGCUAGAUGUCUGACACACUUAAGAAAAAAGUCUCAUAAUUUAAAACAUUAUUUUUAAAUUUCAAAACCCAAAAGUGCUCAUUGUAAAAUAAAAUACAAACGUGAUCAUGACAGAAGAGUUUAAGUAAGAUUUAAAAGCCCGUCCUACCCCUAACCCCAUUCCUCUUUCCAAGCAUAACCACUGUUAGUAGUUUGGUAUAAAUACUUCCAUAUCUUUCUUUUUGCCUAGCGUAAUUUUCUUUUUUUUCUUUUUUUGAGACUGAUUCUCACUCUGUCACCUAGGCUGGAGUGCAGUGGCACAAUCUUGGCUCACUGCAACCUCCAUCUCCCGGAUUCAAGUGAUUCUUCUGCCUCAGCCUCCCGAGUAGCUGGGACUACAGGCACACACCACCACGCCCUGCUAAUUUUUGUAUUUUCAGUAGAGAUGGGGUUUCAUCAUAUUGGUCAGGCUGGUCUCGAACUCCUGACCUAGUGGUCCGUCCGCCUCAGCAUCCCAAAGUGCUGGGAUUACAGGCUUGAGCCACCACACCUGGCUCAACCCAGUGUACUUUUCAUCGUACAGUUGGCAAGAGAAAGAUAUGGAAGGAUUUUCACAGUAUCACACUUGAAUGUAUGAAAAAUAUUCACACUUUUCACAGAAUCACACUUUCUAUCUACUUAAAUCAAAAAACAGAGGAGGCUGAAUUUACUAUAUAUCUUUACUAGAAUAAGCAUCUACCUCUACACAAUAACUGAAAUGCUCAUUCAGCUAACAUUAGGCAUCUAUCUGCAGAGACACAAAGAACUCUAGAACUCACUCUCUGUUUCCCAGGGACUCACAAUCUAGUGCAGUGGUUCUAAGUUUAUUUUUGAGAGAGUAAUUAUAGACUCCUUUGAGAGACUGCUGUGAGCUCUGAACUCUUUCCCAAGAAGAAAAUGAACCUGUACAAUUUUGCCUAUAAUUUAGAGGAUUCGUGGAAACCUUGAGGGUAUGGACCCCUGAUCUUGUAGAAGUGAGACUUUUAAAUGUAUAGUUGGAUAGAAAUACUAUAAUGGAAAUGUAGACAAGAUGCUAUACCACAGCACAGAAAAACAGGGCUUAACUCUCCUGGGACAUAUCAAGAAGACAGGGAAGAAUGACAUUUGCACAAAAUUUUGAAGGACAUUAGGAGUUUGACAACUAGCCUGGUGCAGGGGAAGGAUGUCCGCAGAGGGAACAGCCCCAGAA
Molecule: long non-coding RNA, 2205 nt
Filed under: Macaca mulatta (Rhesus monkey)
Lineage: Eukaryota; Metazoa; Chordata; Mammalia; Primates; Cercopithecidae
Description: lncRNA (ENSMMUG00000053867.1)
Source: RNAcentral